Molecule: long non-coding RNA, 1258 nt
Filed under: Calidris pugnax (ruff)
Lineage: Eukaryota; Metazoa; Chordata; Aves; Charadriiformes; Scolopacidae
Description: lncRNA (ENSCPUG00000016783.1)
Source: RNAcentral
GAAAUAACACAAAUUUCUUUUCUUUACUUCUUUUUAGGGGAGCAGCACACAAAAAUCGGUAGGUUUUAUGAAUUUCUCAGGAGGAAAUUGGAGAAAUCCCAUUGGAAAUGGGAGAAAACUGCAUUUUUACAGGAAAAAAUGUUUAAAAUCGCAUUAAAAUUAAUUUUUUUUUUUUUUCAGGUGAACUCACUGCAGACGUGGGCGUUUGCACCAAAAAACUCCAGCGAUGCGAGGCAGAACUCGAGGAGCGGGAGGUGACGAUCCGUAAGUACCCCCCCCCCGAGUGACGUCACAGCUAUUUUUAGGGAUGAUGUCACCGGGAACACGAGGCCGGGACUAUGUAUAAUUUAAAUUUUGAUAUUGAAUUUCUUUAAAUUUUUAUAUUGAAUUUCUUGUAAAUUUUGACAUUAAAGUUUCUUAUAAAAAUCAUUUAUUCCAUUUUGUUUUUUCUCUUUUAGGGGAAAACGAAGCGGAGCUCAGUGAGUGGCAUUUUCUGUCCUGGGGGAGGCUCUGGGGGGUCUUUAACCAAAUCGGUUUAAAAUUCAAAAUAUAGGGUAAAAAAAGGGGGGGGGGUUUAAGCAGAAAUUCCUAUCCAAAACCAUCCAAAGGAAUGGAAAAAACAAAAAGUUUUUAAAUUUUUUUUUUAAUAUAUAUAUUUUUAUUUGUAGAAUUCAGAUUUUAUAUUUUUAGAAUUUUGGUUUCAUUUUUAUUUUUAGAAUUUUGGGGUUUGUUUAAUUCUAAGUUGUAAAAUCUGAAAUCAUGGUGUUAAAAACUGCGUUUUUCUUUCCUUUGAGGGCGCCUGAGGGAGCUUCUGGGUAAGUCCUUUCCCUCCCCCUAAAUUCAGCCUUUUUUACCCCAAAAUUUCACAACGUCAUUUAUCAAAAGAGAAUUUGGCCAAAAACUGGCUUUGGGGGAGGCGUUUUUCCAAAUUCAGCAAAAAAAUGGCAAUAAUUUGGAAUAAUUUCAAUUUUUUUUCUCUUUGCAGAGGAGAAGGAUUCGGAAAUUCGUAAGUUCUGGAGCAAAAAUACAAAAAAUUUGGACAAAAUACAACAGAAAUUAAAGGAAAUUGUCCUGGAAAUCUGAUUUUCUUCCCUAAAUGUUCAGUCCUGUUCAAUGAUUUCAUUAAAUUAAUGUAACAAUUUUCAGUUUUCAGAUAUUUUCUCUGAAAUUUUAGCAUUAAAUGAAAUAUUUGCUGUUGUCUGCUUGAACUCAGUGUCAUAAAUUGGGGGAAAAUGGGGUUUUGUUCAUUUCUACUCCU